CAGAUACACUGCUGCACAGACGUCCUGCAGACACAAUAAAAGUGGUCUACGUACUGAUUCGCAGAUUCACUGUUCUUCAUGGGGUGUCUACUUGUGUGUUUGGCCGUCCUGCUCUUUAUGAACAGAUUAAAAAGAAGAUAAAUGAAACUGUUCCUUACUGUUGGCCCAGUAUGUGCUGUAUGUACUGAUUGGUUGCCAGGUAGACUUCUGUGAAGGUGAGGGUCCCUUGGGAUCAAUGGCUGCUUGUAGUGCUGCUUGUUCUUCAGGGCUCAAUAGGUUGUCAGCUGUGGGAACAAUGAUAAUUAUAUGUUGUGGGUCAGUCGGAAGCACACAAUCCUCCCAGUCAAGCUCCUGAAGGUACAGUUUGUAAACAGAAGCAGAACGUUUUAAAAUGGAUUAAUCAUUUAAUGUGCAUCAAAUCAUACAUGCUUCCAAAACACUGUAACACCAGUGACC
Ictalurus punctatus (channel catfish) is the source of this 456-nucleotide long non-coding RNA. Lineage: Eukaryota; Metazoa; Chordata; Actinopteri; Siluriformes; Ictaluridae. The record is from Ensembl.